Molecule: ribosomal RNA, 328 nt
Filed under: uncultured Glomeraceae
Lineage: Eukaryota; Fungi; Glomeromycota; Glomeromycetes; Glomerales; Glomeraceae
Description: partial large subunit ribosomal RNA
Source: RNAcentral
CAGUCGUACCGACGAGAAAUCAGCUUAUCGUGUGUAAACUUGUGGGCGUGCGUGAGUUUCGGCCUCGCUGUUUGCAUGUUUGUGCUCUUUGGGUGUACUUUUUCGUAUGGUAGGCCAACAUCAGUUUCGAUUACUAUAAAAUGACUGGCGGAAUGUAGCUUCGAUUUCGGUUGAAGUGUUAUAGCCUCUGGUAGAUGUGGUGAUUGGGACUGAGGAUUGCAACGAAUAUCCUUUGGGCUAUCCGUCUGGCCUCUGAAAGUUGCUUGGGUGCUGAAAGCUUGCUUAUGGUUAUCUAAGUUAACGGUCAAUAGGUUAGAACGCGAUUACA